Molecule: ribosomal RNA, 233 nt
Filed under: uncultured Anaerolineaceae bacterium
Lineage: Bacteria; Bacillati; Chloroflexota; Anaerolineae; Anaerolineales; Anaerolineaceae
Description: partial 16S ribosomal RNA
Rfam family: Bacterial small subunit ribosomal RNA
Source: RNAcentral
CCGGUCGAUAAACCGGAGGAAGUGGGGAUGACGUCAAGUCAGCAUGGCCUUUAUAUCCUGGGCUACACACACGCUACAAUGGGAAGGGACAAUAGGUUGCGAAGCCGCGAGGCGGAGCCAAUCCAGCAAAACUUCCCUCAGUUCAGAUUGCAGGCUGCAACCCGCCUGCAUGAAGUUGGAGUUGCUAGUAAACGCAGGUCAGCCAUACUGCGUUGAAUACGUUCCCGGGGCUU